Molecule: ribosomal RNA, 1363 nt
Filed under: Megathymus violae
Lineage: Eukaryota; Metazoa; Arthropoda; Insecta; Lepidoptera; Hesperiidae
Description: 16S ribosomal RNA
Rfam family: Eukaryotic large subunit ribosomal RNA (bases 1087-1245)
Source: RNAcentral
GGGGAUAAUUUAAUUAAUUAUGAAUAAUAAAAGAAAUUUUUAUUUGAAUAUAUUUUAAUGGGGGUUAAAGUAUAGUAAAAGAAAAAAUUUAAAAAUUUAUAGGGGAAUAGUAUUGUGAAAGAAUAUUGAAAUAAGUGAAAAUUUAAUUAUUUAUAAAGUAAAUUUAGUUUAUUGUAUCUUGUGUUUCAGAGUUUAUUAAAAAAUUUUUUUGGUUAAAAAUUUUUCGAAUUUAAAAGAGCUAAUUAAUUAAAAUUUUUAUUGUAGCAUAAAUAUAUAAAAUAAUUAAUUUGAAAUGAAAUGUUAUUCGUUUUUAAAUAUAUCUAAUUUUUUUAGAAAUAAAUUUAAUUUAGAAUUUAAUUUUUAAUUUAAUAAAUUAUAUUUAUUAGAUAAAAAUUAAAUUUAAUAUUUUAAGGGAUAAGCUUUAAAUUAAAUUUUUAUAAUAAUAAUAAUAUUUAAAAAUUAAAAUUUUUAAAAUUUAUAUUGUUUAUAAAUUAUAUUUUUUUAUAAAAAUUUUUAAUUUAAAUAAAAUUUUUAAUUUAUAAUUUAAAUUUUUAUAAAAAAAUAAUUUUUAAUUAGAAAAAUUUAGUUAUAAUGAUAAAAUUAGUAUAAUUAAUUAAAAUAAUUUAAUUAAAAUGGUUUAAAAUUAAAAAAAAGGAAUUCGGCAAAUAAAAAUAUUCACCUGUUUAACAAAAACAUGUCUUUUUGAGUUUAAUUUAAAGUCAAAUCUGCCCACUGAUUAAUUUAUUAAAGGGCUGCAGUAUAUUGACUGUACAAAGGUAGCAUAAUAAAUAGUCUUUUAAUUGAAGACUUGUAUGAAAGAUUUGAUGAAAUAUUAACUGUCUCUUUUUUAUAGUUAAAAUUUAAUUUUUUAGUAAAAAAGCUAAAAUUUAUUUAAAAGACGAGAAGACCCUAUAGAGUUUUAUAUUUAUUUUAUAAAAAAAUUAUAUAUUUAUAUAUAAUUUUUUUAUAAAAUAAAUAUUUUAUUGGGGUGAUAGAAAAAUUUAAUAAACUUUUUUUAUUUUUUUUUACAUAGAUUAAUGAUUAAUUGAUCCAUAAAUUAUGAUUAUAAGAAAAAAUUACCUUAGGGAUAACAGCGUAAUUUUUUUUUUUAGUUCUUAUAAAAAAAAAAGUUUGCGACCUCGAUGUUGGAUUAAGAUAAAAUUUAGAUGCAGAAGUUUAAAAUUUUGAUCUGUUCGAUCAUUAAAAUCUUACAUGAUCUGAGUUCAAACCGGCGUGAGCCAGGUUGGUUUCUAUCUUUAAAAAAAUAAAAUAUUUUAGUACGAAAGGAUUAAAUAUUUAAAAUAAUUUUAAAAAAAUGAAUUUUAUUAAUUUAAAUAUAUACAUAUAUAUAUAUAUAUAUAUA